Molecule: ribosomal RNA, 253 nt
Filed under: uncultured prokaryote
Description: partial 16S ribosomal RNA
Rfam family: Bacterial small subunit ribosomal RNA
Source: RNAcentral
UACGGAGGAUCCAAGCGUUAUCCGGAUUUAUUGGGUUUAAAGGGUGCGUAGGCGGCCUGUUAAGUCAGGGGUGAAAGGCGGUAGCUUAACUAUCGGAGUGCCCUUGAUACUGACGGGCUUGAAUGCAGCUGAGGUAGGCGGAAUGUGACAAGUAGCGGUGAAAUGCAUAGAUAUGUCACAGAACACCGAUUGCGAAGGCAGCUUACUAAAGUGUCACUGACGCUGAGGCACGAAAGUGCGGGGAUCAAACAGG